GCCAGCAUGGUGUAGUGGCUUGACCUUUGGACUAUGACUCUGGAGAACAGGGUUCGAAUCCCAGUUCAGCCA
This is a non-coding RNA of Phrynosoma platyrhinos (Desert horned lizard), 72 nucleotides long. Lineage: Eukaryota; Metazoa; Chordata; Lepidosauria; Squamata; Phrynosomatidae. The record is from the annotation of a GenBank genome assembly.